Molecule: ribosomal RNA, 253 nt
Filed under: uncultured bacterium
Lineage: Bacteria
Description: partial 16S ribosomal RNA
Rfam family: Bacterial small subunit ribosomal RNA
Source: RNAcentral
CACGUAGGGGGCGAGCGUUGUCCGGAAUUAUUGGGCGUAAAGGGCUCGUAGGCGGUCUGUCGCGUCGGGAGUGAAAACUCAGGGCUUAACCCUGAGCCUGCUUCCGAUACGGGCAGACUAGAGGUAUGCAGGGGAGAACGGAAUUCCUGGUGUAGCGGUGAAAUGCGCAGAUAUCAGGAGGAACACCGGUGGCGAAGGCGGCUCUCUGGGCAUUACCUGACGCUGAGGAGCGAAAGUGUGGGGAGCGAACAGG